UGUUGGUACUGGCUGUGGUGGACCUGGAAUAGUAGAGGGUCACCACGCCCAAUAUCCAGU
This is a microRNA precursor of Monodelphis domestica (gray short-tailed opossum), 60 nucleotides long. Lineage: Eukaryota; Metazoa; Chordata; Mammalia; Didelphimorphia; Didelphidae. The record is from Ensembl.